GGCCACUGUGCAUGUGAAUGGCCUACCCCAAUGAAAAAUCAAGUGGGGAGAGACCUAAACCAUGGAACCAUGCCAAUGUAUGAAACCCCAAGUGAAAGGCCAAACAGUGUACGUGGAUCUCUCAAGCUGCCCGCUUGGCCCUCUUCCAAGGGUAGUUUACUUCCUUUUGUUCCUGCUCUAAAACUUUUUUUUUUGUGUGUGACACAGUCUCGCUCUGUUGCCAGGCUGGAGUGCAGUGGCGCGAUCUCAGCUCACUGCAACCUCUGUCUCCAGGGUUCAAGUGAUUCUCCUGCCUCAGCCUCCGGAGUAGCUGGGACUACAGGGAAGAAUUGAGUUUGCUGCACACCUGUCAGAUUUGCUACUGCUAACAACGUGAGUGACUGUGGCCAGGAGAAAACAAAAACUCAAGAAGCCCUGAGAAGAAUGUGUUAGGAAUAUGCUUUUGGCAUCUAAUCAUUCUUCAUAAAUCAAGAUGUGAAGUCAGUGAAGUAAGAGAUGAACAAUUUCUGGAAAUGGAAUCUCCACAGCUACUUCUGGACAACCUCAGCCCAUUCAUCUACAAACCUCCGUGCCCGGCACGUUGUCCAGGCUGGACCCCCAGCCGGAUGGUGUAUUAGGAGUUCCUUUACAUGCCUGCUGGGGGCGACAUCCUUUCUCACAUUUGUAACAGUGAAACAGCAAAAGAAUGAACAUGACUAACUCCAUUUUUGUUUGAGUGGUCCUUAUCUAUGUUUAGAUACCCAUUCCUGCAUGUGGGCUAGAAUAAUUUUAGAGCACUGGGAUGAAACACUACAAUGGGAGUCAUACAGUUUUUGAAAUGAACUCUGGGAUUAAAAAGGAGUAUUUGAGCAACCGACCAUAUUUUGUUAAAGAUUUAUAGGAGGAAGGAGCAUUGUGACCUGACCAGGGACAAAGAAAUUCCCAACUUCCUUGGACCCUUGCUGGCACCCAGCUGUCUAUAGUCAUAGGUUAUGUGUUGAUCCCAACACCCUCCUCUUCCCCCUGCCCUUAACAUAAAAAGAGCCUGAAAUUUGUACCGACUUGUGAUGGUCUUUGUGACACUAGUCCACCAUCUCCCCAGGUUGCC
RNAcentral lists this long non-coding RNA (1087 nucleotides) under Homo sapiens (human). RNAcentral's name for it is "HSALNT0247618". Lineage: Eukaryota; Metazoa; Chordata; Mammalia; Primates; Hominidae. The record is from RNAcentral.